AGAUUUGAACCCGAGUGUUUAAGAAAAUAAAAUUACUUCAAAACUACUCAGCUACAUCUUAAGGGUAAUUAUUAUUAUUUUUUGGUUAAAUCUAAUGUAGCUAGAUAGUUUUAAAAAUAUGUCUCUUAUUGGCUUAAUCAUCUAGAAGAGUAGUAUUAAAAAUAUAAAUAAAUAAAAGAAAAGAGAAAGAAUCUAUUGCAUAAAUUAUACUAUAUUCUUGUUGCCUCUUAAUAAAUUAUUGUGUGUGAAUGCAUCGUAAUUUUGUUUUCCGUUGGUACUUUCCAUCCAAAGUAUAAUGCACAAAAGCACAAAUUUAAUCAUAAGAAUUAAUCCAUAAAAAAAUGAGGAUAAUAGAUAGAAAUGGGAUGCGGCAAAAGACAUUGUGAAACACAUCGGACUUCUCGUCCAUGCCAAUGCUGUUACAAUGUUCCCCUAUGCCUGCCUCGACCCCCACCGGGGCCAAUGUGCAUGCCGGGUUAGCCGGGACCACCCAUAAUUUCAACACAAUAGACCGUCGCCGGUCGCUGUGGUAGCUGCUGACCCUCUUCCGACAGUGAUUGUGGGAUUGUUUUUCAAUUGCUGGUUACGUGUUUGGACCAAAUGUUUCUGCUUGUGUUCUGUUUUUCCAGCCUCACAAAUUACAGCACUAAUGCUCCUGUUUUCUUUUCAAAGUGAAAAUGUCUUGUUCGAGGAACAUGAUUGAAUUCCAAGGUUUCAUCCACGUGUUGGACUACAUUUUAUUUUUAUUUUUUAAUAUUCUAUUUUUAUUUGAUUCUAUUCUCUCGUUUAACAUUCUUUGAUUUGUUCGUGAGAAGGAACAAUUGAACAAACAUUUCACAUGGGAAAAUUAAAUAUCGUUGAAUUUGUA
This 868-nucleotide long non-coding RNA is filed under the name Citrus x clementina. RNAcentral's name for it is "Citrus clementina (C. clementina) long non-coding RNA (CCLE_LNC005633)". Lineage: Eukaryota; Viridiplantae; Streptophyta; Magnoliopsida; Sapindales; Rutaceae. The record is from RNAcentral.